GAUGAACGCUGGCGGCGUGCCUAAUACAUGCAAGUAGAACGCUGAAGGAGGAGCUUGCUCUUCUGGAUGAGUUGCGAACGGGUGAGUAACGCGUAGGUAACCUGCCUGGUAGCGGGGGAUAACUAUUGGAAACGAUAGCUAAUACCGCAUGACAACAGUUAUUGCAUGAUAACUGUUUAAAAGGGGCAACUGCUCCACUACCAGAUGGACCUGCGUUGUAUUAGCUAGUUGGUGAGGUAACGGCUCACCAAGGCGACGAUACAUAGCCGACCUGAGGGGGUGAUCGGCCACACUGGGACUGAGACACGGCCCAGACUCCUACGGGAGGCAGCAGUAGGGAAUCUUCGGCAAUGGACGGAAGUCUGACCGAGCAACGCCGCGUGAGUGAAGAAGGUUUUCGGAUCGUAAAGCUCUGUUGUAAGAGAAGAACGAGUGUGAGAGUGGAAAGUUCACACUGUGACGGUAUCUUACCAGAAAGGGACGGCUAACUACGU
Molecule: ribosomal RNA, 494 nt
Filed under: uncultured bacterium
Lineage: Bacteria
Description: partial 16S ribosomal RNA
Rfam family: Bacterial small subunit ribosomal RNA
Source: RNAcentral